RNAcentral lists this ribosomal RNA (1010 nucleotides) under Bacillus sp. (in: firmicutes). RNAcentral describes it as "bacterial SSU rRNA". It matches the Rfam family "Bacterial small subunit ribosomal RNA", at positions 33 to 1045 of the family's 1533-position model. The record is from RNAcentral. Lineage: Bacteria; Bacillati; Bacillota; Bacilli; Caryophanales; Bacillaceae.
GUGCAUGCGGCUGCUAUACAUGCAGUCGAGCGGACCGACGGGAGCUUGCUCCCUUAGGUCAGCGGCGGACGGGUGAGUAACACGUGGGUAACCUGCCUGUAAGACUGGGAUAACUCCGGGAAACCGGGGCUAAUACCGGAUGCUUGAUUGAACCGCAUGGUUCAAUUAUAAAAGGUGGCUUUUAGCUACCACUUACAGAUGGACCCGCGGCGCAUUAGCUAGUUGGUGAGGUAACGGCUCACCAAGGCAACGAUGCGUAGCCAACCUGAGAGGGUGAUCGGCCACACUGGGACUGAAACACGGCCCAAACUCCUACGGGAGGCAGCAGUAGGGAAUCUUCCGCAAUGGACGAAAGUCUGACGGAGCAACGCCGCGUGAGUGAUGAAGGUUUUCGGAUCGUAAAACUCUGUUGUUAGGGAAAAACAAGUACCGUUCGAAUAGGGCGGUACCUUGACGGUACCUAACCAAAAAGCCACGGCUAACUACGUGCCAGCAGCCGCGGUAAUACGUAGGUGGCAAGCGUUGUCCGGAAUUAUUGGGCGUAAAGCGCGCGCAGGCGGUUUCUUAAGUCUGAUGUGAAAGCCCCCGGCUCAACCGGGGAGGGUCAUUGGAAACUGGGGAACUUGAGUGCAGAAGAGGAGAGUGGAAUUCCACGUGUAGCGGUGAAAUGCGUAGAGAUGUGGAGGAACACCAGUGGCGAAGGCGACUCUCUGGUCUGUAACUGACGCUGAGGCGCGAAAGCGUGGGGAGCGAACAGGAUUAGAUACCCUGGUAGUCCACGCCGUAAACGAUGAGUGCUAAGUGUUAGAGGGUUUCCGCCCUUUAGUGGCUGCAGCAAACGCAUUAAGCACUCGGCCUGGGGGAGUACGGUCGCAAGACUGAAACUCAAGGAAUUGACGGGGGCCCGCACAGCGGUGGAGCAUGUGGUUUAUCGAGCACGCGAGACUACAGGUCUGACAUCUCUGACACCUAGGAGAUAGGCUUCCUCGGGGCAGAUGACAGGUGGUGCA